This is a small nuclear RNA of Fukomys damarensis (Damara mole-rat), 105 nucleotides long. The record is from Ensembl. NCBI's taxonomy places the organism in Eukaryota, Metazoa, Chordata, Mammalia, Rodentia, Bathyergidae.
GUGCUCACUUCUGCAGCACAUAUACUAAAAUUUGGAAUAAUACAGAGAUUAGCAUGGCCCCUUCACAUGGAUGACAUGUAAAUUCAUGAAGCGGUGUAUAUUUUU